AUUAAACGCUGGCGGCAUGCCUUACACAUGCAAGUCGAACGGCAGCACGGGGGCAACCCUGGUGGCGAGUGGCGGACGGGUGAGUAAUACAUCGGAACGUGCCCUGGAGUGGGGGAUAACGUAGCGAAAGUUACGCUAAUACCGCAUAUUCUGUGAGCAGGAAAGCAGGGGAUCGCAAGACCUUGCGCUCUGGGAGCGGCCGAUGUCGGAUUAGCUAGUUGGUGGGGUAAAGGCCUACCAAGGCGACGAUCCGUAGCGGGUCUGAGAGGAUGAUCCGCCACACUGGGACUGAGACACGGCCCAGACUCCUACGGGAGGCAGCAGUGGGGAAUUUUGGACAAUGGGCGAAAGCCUGAUCCAGCCAUGCCGCGUGAGUGAAGACGGCCUUAGGGUUGUAAACCUCUUUCAGAUGGGACGAAGGUGAUGCGGUGAAUAGCCGAUGUCAUUGACGGUACCGUCAGAAGAAGCUCCGGCUAACUACGUGCCAGCAGCCG
RNAcentral lists this ribosomal RNA (494 nucleotides) under uncultured bacterium. RNAcentral describes it as "bacterial SSU rRNA". It matches the Rfam family "Bacterial small subunit ribosomal RNA", at positions 29 to 517 of the family's 1533-position model. The record is from RNAcentral.